This 296-nucleotide long non-coding RNA is filed under the name Brachypodium distachyon (stiff brome). RNAcentral's name for it is "long non-coding RNA (BDIS_LNC001934)". Lineage: Eukaryota; Viridiplantae; Streptophyta; Magnoliopsida; Poales; Poaceae. The record is from RNAcentral.
GUUUUGAGACACUGUGCUCUGUGCUGACUUGUAGGUGCAACCUUUCUAGUCUUCGGUCGCGAUCCACGGGAAAAUAAUGGAUGCGUGCCUUGUGACGCGCUCGUGCAUUCACACGGACAAGUUUUGUUGACCUGCACUGCACCGUUCUGCUACGAAUAAAUAUUUUUUUUCCAACGGGGCUACCCCUGGUCUGCAUUUUUUUUCCUCAACGAAUAUUUCCAAUGGAUGGUUUGUCAAUCGAGUUGCAUAAAAAGAGUUUAGUAUGCAUAACUGCUCUGCUUUUGACACACAAAGGA